This 450-nucleotide ribosomal RNA is filed under the name uncultured bacterium. RNAcentral's name for it is "partial 16S ribosomal RNA". It matches the Rfam family "Bacterial small subunit ribosomal RNA", at positions 354 to 796 of the family's 1533-position model. The record is from RNAcentral.
GUGAGGAAUUUUCCGCAAUGGGCGAAAGCCUGACGGAGCAAUGCCGCGUGAAGGAUGAAGGCCUUCGGGUUGUAAACUGCUUUUGUACGGAACGAAACGGUCCUGGUUAAUACCUGGGGCUAAUGACGGUACCGUAAGAAUAAGCACCGGCUAACUACGUGCCAGCAGCCGCGGUAAUACGUAGGGUGCGAGCGUUAAUCGGAAUUACUGGGCGUAAAGCGUGCGCAGGCGGUGCUGUAAGACAGGCGUGAAAUCCCCGGGCUCAACCUGGGAAUUGCGAUUGUGACUGCAGUGCUGGAGUACGGGAGAGGGGGAUGGAAUUCCGCGUGUAGCAGUGAAAUGCGUAGAUAUGCGGAGGAACACCGAUGGCGAAGGCAGUCCCCUGGGCCUGUACUGACGCUCAUGCACGAAAGCGUGGGGAGCAAACAGGAUUAGAAACCCGAGUAGUCC